UUGCAUUCAAUAAGCGGAGGAAAAGAAACCAACAGGGAUUGCCUUAGUAGCGGCGAGUGAAGCGGCAAAAGCUCAAAUUUGAAAUCUGGCACCUUCGGUGUCCGAGUUGUAAUUUGAAGAUUGUAACCUUGGGGUUGGCUCUUGUCUAUGUUUCUUGGAACAGGACGUCACAGAGGGUGAGAAUCCCGUGCGAUGAGAUGCCCAAUCCUAUGUAAGGUGCUUUCGAAGAGUCGAGUUGUUUGGGAAUGCAGCUCUAAGUGGGUGGUAAAUUCCAUCUAAAGCUAAAUAUUGGCGAGAGACCGAUAGCGAACAAGUACAGUGAUGGAAAGAUGAAAAGAACUUUGAAAAGAGAGUGAAAAAGUACGUGAAAUUGUUGAAAGGGAAGGGUUUGAGAUCAGACUCGAUAUUUUGUGAGCCUUGCCUUCGUGGCGGGGUGACCCGCAGCUUAUCGGGCCAGCAUCGGUUUGGGCGGUAGGAUAAUGGCGUAGGAAUGUGACUUUGCUUCGGUGAAGUGUUAUAGCCUGCGUUGAUGCUGCCUGCCUAGACCGAGGACUGCGAUUUUAUCAAGGAUGCUGGCAUAAUGAUCCCAAACCGCCCGUCUUGAACCCGGGACCAA
RNAcentral lists this ribosomal RNA (616 nucleotides) under Meyerozyma caribbica. RNAcentral describes it as "LSU rRNA". It matches the Rfam family "Eukaryotic large subunit ribosomal RNA", at positions 33 to 669 of the family's 3401-position model. The record is from RNAcentral. Lineage: Eukaryota; Fungi; Ascomycota; Pichiomycetes; Serinales; Debaryomycetaceae.